CACGUAGGGGGCGAGCGUUGUCCGGAUUCAUUGGGCGUAAAGAGCUCGUAGGCGGCCAGGUAGGUCGGCUGUGAAAACUCGAGGCUCAACCUCGAGAUGUCGGCCGAAACCAUCUGGCUAGAGUCCGGAAGAGGAGAGUGGAAUUCCCGGUGUAGCGGUGAAAUGCGCAGAUAUCGGGAAGAACACCCGUGGCGAAGGCGGCUCUCUGGGACGGUACUGACGCUGAGACGCGAAAGCGUGGGGAGCGAACAGG
Molecule: ribosomal RNA, 253 nt
Filed under: uncultured bacterium
Lineage: Bacteria
Description: partial 16S ribosomal RNA
Rfam family: Bacterial small subunit ribosomal RNA
Source: RNAcentral